Molecule: ribosomal RNA, 1017 nt
Filed under: Triticum aestivum (bread wheat)
Lineage: Eukaryota; Viridiplantae; Streptophyta; Magnoliopsida; Poales; Poaceae
Description: partial small subunit ribosomal RNA
Source: RNAcentral
AUGGGGAAGUCGGAGCCGGAGUGCGUCAACUCGUCGAACCCGGCCCACGAGUGCAACGACUACUGCCUCAACAAGAUCGCCGAGGCCAAGCGCCGCCUCCUCGAAGAGCUCCCCGACUCGUGGAAGGGCCCCCCGGAGGACCGCACCGUGCACCCUGACUGCAUCAACGCCUCCAACCCCUAUCAUGGCUGCUCCGAGUACUGCUUUAAGAAGAUUGCCGACGCCAACGCAGCCGCGGAGCGCGGGGAGUCAGAGAAGCCUGCUGGAGGUUCUGGCAAAUCAGGAGUCGCUCCAGAGCAGGCUGAUGGUGAUGACGAUUCUGGGCGGCAGGAGGACGCUGCCGCCGCGGAUGAAGGUUACCCGCAGAUGACAGAAAAGCAGAAGAAGUUGUUUGAGCUGCAGCUUAAGAUGAACGAAGCUAGGAAGGCGAAUCAGCAGGCGAUGGUUGCGGAGAAGAAGAGGAUGGAGCCUCGUGGCGAGAGCAGAGGCGUAUCUAAGGAGAAGUGGUUGGAAGACAGGAAAAAGAAGAUUGGGAAGCUGCUUGAUUCGAAUGGCCUGGAUAUGUCAAAGUCUUACAUGCUGGAUACACAGGAUAUGGCAGAAGCAAAAUACAAGAAGUGGGAGAAGGAACCUGCACCACAUGGCUGGGAUGUUUUCAACCAGAAAACCUUGUAUGAUGCAUACAAGAAGAGGACCAAAAACAUAGAAGUCGACAUGGAUGCAUACAAUAGAGCGAAAGAAACCGAUCCUGAAUUCUACCGUGAGGCUUCAAGUCUUCAAUAUGGGAAGGUGUCUAGGGUGGCGGAACCAAACAUCGACAGAAUGGUCAAUGAGCUCAAGGAGCGGGACGAGAAGCGGAAGGCGUUCAGCAGGAGGCGCAAGUUCAACGAAGACAAGGACGUUGACUCGAUCAACGACCGGAAUGAGCACUUCAACAAGAAGAUCGAGAGGGCCUUUGGCAAAUACACGCUCGAGAUCAAGAACAACUUGGAAAGAGGGACCGCCUUGCCAGACUAA